UACUAUUAUUAGGUGUGGACUUUCUGGA
Molecule: non-coding RNA, 28 nt
Filed under: Rattus norvegicus (Norway rat)
Lineage: Eukaryota; Metazoa; Chordata; Mammalia; Rodentia; Muridae
Source: RNAcentral